Molecule: ribosomal RNA, 263 nt
Filed under: uncultured bacterium
Lineage: Bacteria
Description: partial 16S ribosomal RNA
Rfam family: Bacterial small subunit ribosomal RNA
Source: RNAcentral
GUCCACGCCGUAAACGAUGGAUGUUAGUUGUCGGGAUUUCAUUCCGGUGACACAGUUAACACGUUAAACAUCCCGCCUGGGGAGUACGGUCGCAAGAUUAAAACUCAAAGGAAUUGACGGGGACCCGCACAAGCGGUGGAGUAUGUGGUUUAAUUCGAUGCAACGCGAAGAACCUUACCACCUUUUGACAUCCUGAUAGCUGUUAGCAGAAAAUGCUUUCGUCGGUUCGGCCGGAUCAGUGACAGGUGUUGCAUGGCUGUCGU